GCCUUGUUUGCGCAGGAUAGGUGGGAGGCGUUGAAAAUUUUCUUGCGGGAAGAUUGGAGCCGUUGGUGAGAUACCACUCUAACAAUGCUAGGAUUCUAACCCUACACCGUUAUCCGGUUAGGGGACAGUUUCAGGUGGUCAGUUCGACUGGGGCGGUCGCCUCCCAAAAGGUAACGGGGGCGUGCAAAGGUUUCCUCGGGCUGGUCGGAAAUCAGUCGUAGAGUGUAAAGGCAUAAGGAAGCUUGAUUGUGAGACCUACAAGUCGAACAAAGACGAAAGUCGGCCUUAGUGAUCCGACGGUUCCGAGUGGAAGGGCCGUCGCUCAACGGAUAAAAGUUACUCUAGGGAUAACAGGCUGA
This 359-nucleotide ribosomal RNA is filed under the name uncultured eukaryote. Its description in RNAcentral is "LSU rRNA". It matches the Rfam family "Bacterial large subunit ribosomal RNA", at positions 2127 to 2485 of the family's 2925-position model. The record is from RNAcentral.